This 1118-nucleotide unclassified non-coding RNA is filed under the name Cunninghamia lanceolata. RNAcentral describes it as "partial contains small subunit ribosomal RNA, internal transcribed spacer 1, 5.8S ribosomal RNA, and internal transcribed spacer 2". The stretch from base 751 to 904 matches the Rfam family "5.8S ribosomal RNA". The record is from RNAcentral. Lineage: Eukaryota; Viridiplantae; Streptophyta; Pinopsida; Cupressales; Cupressaceae.
GGUUACCGUAGGUGAACUUGCGGUAGGAUCAUUGUCAGUUUGGGGCCCCGAAUUGUGUAGGGGGGAGGCGAGCGAGGCCAUUAGGCUGAACUCGUCUCCUAUCCCAGCUCUCACUCUUGAUGGCGUGUGGGUGAUUGGACACUGCAGAGCGGCUCCGCAGGUAGUCCAUAUCACCAUCGGCCCAAGGCGAUUGAAGGCCGUGGUCGAGCGCAUCUCCUUCGGUGUGGCGAGUUGUCGUGUCUGAUUUUGAUUGUGAUGGGUGCAUCUCGGUGACAUCUGUCACCGAGGGGUCUUGCCCCAUUGCGUCAGAAGAGGUUCGACCCUCACCCACGGAGGCAGGGCACCUCAGCUACAAGCAUGACUGUUAAGACCAGGGAUCUGUUAGCUUUACAGUGGCAAGUCAGGUUGAUCGUAAUCCCCCCUGUUGCGUUGCUCGGGGGGCUACACUAUUUGGAGUGCUCCUCGCCGUGGACGGGUGCACUCGCAUAAAUCACAAGGCAGGACCCCCUGUCUAGCUGCGUAGUUCUCUCGAGGCAGCCUCUACCUCCACAACGCGGUGGGGCAGGGACACGACAUUCCCUGGUGCCCCUCUCAACAGGCCUCACCCUCUCAAGUUGGGGGAAUUGGGGGAUGGAUCGUGUCAAACCCUACACGCAUCGGUACAACCCACACCAAUUAAAAAUGCCAACACUUAAGUGUGGUCAAGAUGCCUUUCACGUCUCAGCCGCCGGUAAACAACGAAAACAACACGAGUCUUGGCAACGGAUAUCUCAGCUCCCACCAUGGUGAAGAAUGUAGCGAAAUGCGAUCCUUAGUGUGAAUUGCAGAAUCCUGUGAAUCAUCGAGUCUUUGAAUGCAUGUUGCACCCAAGGCCUUAGCCGAGGGCACGUCUACUUGGGUGUCGCACUCCAAAGUCAUCCUCCAGGAUAGAGGAGCAGAGAUGGUCAUCUGUGCCCGUUGGUGGUGCGGUUGGCUGAAAUGAGCACGAGGUCCGUCGCCCCAAUGCGACGAGCAGUGGCCCAUCCAGGUCGGCGUUGGUUUACGCGGGGCGGACGAGGCCGAGCAUGGAACUUUAGCCGGGACAUGGUGGCUUGCCAACGUACGGGCAUAUGCUGGGU